GCAGUUUAGAAAGUGAAGAGGAAAAACGCCGGCGCACCCACACACGCACUCACACACACUCAAACUGCGUUCUCUCUUCUUUUCCUCUCUUUGGCGCCUCCUCCUAUCUGUAUCCUCUCCGGAGCCCAACCACGUUGGGCAUCGGUUGCUUUGGUAGGUGCUGGAGGCAACGUGGCUACAGUUCGUGACAAUUGGGAGAGACUGGUUCGAGCGACGUUGAAGAGGGAGCAGCUGAGAACCGCCGGCCAUGAUCAUGGGACCAAAACCCCAAAUCCUCAAUCAACUGUGUCGUGCAAAGGCCAGAAAGCGUUGAUCUGUUCCUACUAGUCAACUUCUCUCCCCUCUCAGUCACAGACAGAUCUCUCUCCCUCUACUUCUCCGGUGAUCUUAAACUCUUCAAAAAUGCCAGAGUACGCCACCGAGUUGAAGUCUCAGAAUGUGACAGUUUUGGCGAAGGUGGAUGCAACGGUGGAGAAUGAAUUGGCACAUGAGUGCUAUAUUCAGGGAUUCCCCAAAGCUUUAUACUGGUCAAAGAACCAUGUCAUAUGAUGCUUUGCAAGGAAGCCCUGUCACAGCUCAGUUGAUCCCAGCCCUUGGUGUCAUUACCAUCUUCAGAAGCUUACCAUCUGGGUCAUCUGGUUCCGUUCAUGUUUACAAAGUAUUUGCAAGAUGCCUUUAAGGUUCCUCUUAUUAUACAACUCACAGAUGAUGAGAAGUUCUUGUGAAAAAAUCUCAGCAAAGAGGAGAGCCAAAGAGUUGCACGAGAAAAUGCUAAGGAUAUUAUUGCUACAGUUUUGAUAUUGCAAGACUUUCAUUUCUUCUGAUUUUGAUUUUGUUGGCGGGUGAGUGAGACAGGAAUGUAGCUUUGGCCUGAUGAUAUAUUUUCAAGUAUGCUUUCACAAAUUUAAGAUGUUUUAUCCAAUUUAAUAUUACCUAUGGUUUUAGGAAUUUCAUUGGAUAUGAAUCUAUAUGAAUUAUGGAAUCUUGCUGCCAUUGAGUAACUGAUUUUGACCAAAAAAUUGACAAUGCUUAAAUGAUAUUGAAUCUUCUGGGAGCAUCUUGGAAAUUGAAAUGAAAACGAAGACUUUUGCACUUUUCUCAUCAUUUAUAGUUUUUGACAUCUCAAGUGCAAUUUUGCGGUCAGUUGAUCUUUAUAGAAUGUGUGAAGGUGAAAAUCAUUGGUGUAGGAAAUCCAUUUGCACUUUAUAGAUGUUCAAUGCUUACUCCCCUUCUUCCUGUGGUUGUCUUUUCAAGCCUCUGAAAGGUUUCGUUUAGCUGUAAUUAUCUUUGUGUUGCCUUUUGAUCUGGUUGUUGGUAUUCUUCAUUUCAAGUUGUCCACUUGCUAAUUUUGAUGUAAAAGUUUUUCCAUAUCAGCAGAAUUUCCACCACAAUCUGAUGUUUCUUGAUUUGUCUGGAACACUGAACUUAAUGUGUACUAGGGCGCGCGCGUGUGGAUGUCUUUGUUGAGGCAGAAAAUGUGGUCAAAAAGCAAUUUGCAUGUAACAUAUUUAUCCCUCAUGUUAAAAAAAUGGAAAAGUUGCUUUUCUAUAUUCCUUUUUGUUUGAUCCUGAUGGAAAUUUGGAAGUUUGUGCAUCAUACAUGGAAGUAUUAUGUAAGCUUCAUUUCUUCAUACAGGCUGUUCCGUCAUUUCCCAGUUCAAUUCCUCACCUUUUUUCUGGCAAAGAGAAUCUCCGUUGCUUGAUUCCUUGUGCAAUUGACCAGGUGUGGCAAUAUCGAUCUGGCAAAGUGGACGAACUGCAAUAUUUGCAAUACAAAUAAGCCAUGUCACAGUGUGAGGGUGUUGUAAGGUAUUAUCUAUAAUUCUUUUGGUAUUUUCGUACUGCUAGCUGACAUCAGGAAACAGAAUCUGUGCUUGUGAGGUUAGUGAAGUUCUGAUUCGAUAUUCUCUUUGUACUGUAUAUUAUAUACUGUUUUCUAAUCAGUAAAAAUAAAUAUGGGCUUUGUUUA
Prosopis cineraria is the source of this 1968-nucleotide long non-coding RNA. RefSeq lists it as uncharacterized. The transcript is spliced from 4 exons. Lineage: Eukaryota; Viridiplantae; Streptophyta; Magnoliopsida; Fabales; Fabaceae. The record is from RefSeq and is a predicted model, not a curated record.